GCCUUCUUAGCUCAGUCGGUAGAGCAUCAGACUUUUAAUCUGAGGGUCGUGGGUUCAAGUCCCACAGAGGGCG
This is a non-coding RNA of Thelazia callipaeda (thelaziosis nematode), 73 nucleotides long. The record is from Rfam. Lineage: Eukaryota; Metazoa; Nematoda; Chromadorea; Rhabditida; Thelaziidae.